Molecule: non-coding RNA, 71 nt
Organism: Podarcis lilfordi (Lilford's wall lizard)
Lineage: Eukaryota; Metazoa; Chordata; Lepidosauria; Squamata; Lacertidae
Source: the annotation of a GenBank genome assembly
GGAAGGUAGCUCAGUGACAGAGCACCUGCUUUUUGUGCAGAAUAUCCUGGGUUUAAUACCCAGCAGCUCCA